GGAGAGGUCGCAUAGUGGUCUAGUGCGCUCGCUUGGAAAGCGAGUAAGGGUCACACCUUCGCGGGUUCGAAUCCCGCUCUCUCCG
This 85-nucleotide transfer RNA is filed under the name Anaerolinea sp. RNAcentral's name for it is "tRNA-Ser". It matches the Rfam family "tRNA". From Rfam's summary of the family: Transfer RNA (tRNA) molecules are approximately 80 nucleotides in length. Their secondary structure includes four short double-helical elements and three loops (D, anti-codon, and T loops). The record is from RNAcentral. Lineage: Bacteria; Bacillati; Chloroflexota; Anaerolineae; Anaerolineales; Anaerolineaceae.